GCUCAGAAACUUAAAGGAAGUUGACGGGGGCCCGGCACAAGCGGUGGAGUAUGUGGUUAAUUCGAUGCAACGCGAAGAACCUUACCUGGUCUUGACAUCCCGGAGACCCUUAGGAAACUAGGGGGUGCUUCCAUCUGGAAGAAUCUGGAGACAGGUGCUGCAUGGCUGUCGUCAGCUCGUGUCGUGAGAUGUUGGGUUAAGUCCCGCAACGAGCGCAACCCUUGCCUUUAGUUGCCAGCAGUUCGGCUGGGCACUCUAAAGGGACUGCCGGUGUUAAACCGGAGGAAGGUGGGGAUGACGUCAAGUCCUCAUGGCCUUUAUGACCAGGGCUACACACGUACUACAAUGGCCGAUACAAAGGGCAGCGACACUGCGAGGUGAAGCCAAUCCCGUAAAAUCGGUCUCAGUCCGGAUUGGAGUCUGCAACUCGACUCCAUGAAGUUGGAAUCGCUAGUAAUCGUGGAUCAGCAUGCCACGGUAAAUACGUUCCCGGGCCUU
Molecule: ribosomal RNA, 498 nt
Filed under: uncultured Desulfobulbus sp.
Lineage: Bacteria; Pseudomonadati; Thermodesulfobacteriota; Desulfobulbia; Desulfobulbales; Desulfobulbaceae
Description: bacterial SSU rRNA
Rfam family: Bacterial small subunit ribosomal RNA
Source: RNAcentral